UCGCAGUUCUCCUCAGGAGGGUCUGUCUUAUAAAGGACCGUGAGUUUAUUCCAGGGCUCUGGGAGGCUGAGGCAGGAGGAU
This 81-nucleotide microRNA precursor is filed under the name Cavia porcellus (domestic guinea pig). Its description in RNAcentral is "miRNA (ENSCPOG00000036944.1)". The record is from RNAcentral. Lineage: Eukaryota; Metazoa; Chordata; Mammalia; Rodentia; Caviidae.